GGCCAGACUCCUACGGGAGGCAGCAGUGGGGGAUAUUGCACAAUGGGGGAAACCCUGAUGCAGCGACGCCGCGUGAGUGAAGAAGUAUUUCGGUAUGUAAAGCUCUAUCAGCAGGGAAGAAGAUGACAGUACCUGAGUAAGAAGCCCCGGCUAACUACGUGCCAGCAGCCGCGGUAAUACGUAGGGGGCAAGCGUUAUCCGGAUUUACUGGGUGUAAAGGGAGCGUAGACGGUUGUAUAAGUCUGGAGUGAAAGCCCGGGGCCCAACCCCGGGACUGCUUUGGAAACUGUGUAACUUGAGUACAGGAGGGGCAGGCGGAAUUCCUGGUGUAGCGGUGAAAUGCGUAGAUAUCGGGAGGAACACCAGUGGCGAAGGCGGCCUACUGGGCACUAACUGACGCUGAGGCUCGAAAGCAUGGGUAGCAAACAGGAUUAGAUACCCCCGUA
This 446-nucleotide ribosomal RNA is filed under the name uncultured bacterium. Its description in RNAcentral is "bacterial SSU rRNA". It matches the Rfam family "Bacterial small subunit ribosomal RNA", at positions 329 to 792 of the family's 1533-position model. The record is from RNAcentral.